GCCGCUGUAGCUCAGUUGGUAGAGCAAUGGACUGAAAAUCCAUGUGUCGUUGGUCCGAUUCCAACCGGUGGCA
Treponema saccharophilum DSM 2985 is the source of this 73-nucleotide transfer RNA. It matches the Rfam family "tRNA". From Rfam's summary of the family: Transfer RNA (tRNA) molecules are approximately 80 nucleotides in length. Their secondary structure includes four short double-helical elements and three loops (D, anti-codon, and T loops). The record is from Rfam. NCBI's taxonomy places the organism in Bacteria, Pseudomonadati, Spirochaetota, Spirochaetia, Treponematales, Treponemataceae.